Passer domesticus (house sparrow) is the source of this 777-nucleotide long non-coding RNA. RefSeq lists it as uncharacterized. The transcript is spliced from 5 exons. The record is from RefSeq and is a predicted model, not a curated record. Lineage: Eukaryota; Metazoa; Chordata; Aves; Passeriformes; Passeridae.
ACAUCUGCCAGCCAGUGACUGAGGCUGGACCUCUAAAGGGAAGCUGGAGUUCUGGGACAGGUCUGGCCCCUUGGAGCAUGAUGAAAGCUACACAAGCAUUAAUUUGAUCAGAUAUUCAAGCUCCAGAAACUCUGGGGUUUAUUCUGAUUAUAAUUCUUGGACACUUAAGUAACUGAGCAGAUGGAAAACUGAAGCAGUUCAUUUUCCCAUGUGAAGAAUAUUGCUGCUCACAGCAAUUUGUCAGGCUGCUUCAUUCAGACACAGAGAGAGGUGCACAGGGCUCAGGUGGUAGUUCUGCUCUUCCUAUAUUAAACUUCCUGGUACAUCAGAGACUCUCUAUCCAAGCUAGAACAUAAAUUCAGGCCAUUCCUCCAAGGAGUUAAGUCAACAUCCAUAAGCCACCUAAAAAGGAUUGGGUCAGUGCAGAAAUUACAGGACAAACACUGGCAGGAGACAGUGUCCCCUGCCAGCUGAGACAGAAACAAGAUGGACAUGCCCCGUCAGAUGCUUUUCAUGGGAAGGGCACUUUUACCCAGAUCCCUCUGGGAGAAGCUCCAGAUGGGAGGCUCAAAGCACUGGUGGCGCGAAGAUCAGCACAGAGGAUAAGGAAGAAAUUAAGGAUCCAAAAUAAAGUGCAAUGUUCUAUUGACUGGAGACUGCAGUAAGUGAGAGACUGAGACUUAACUCCUGCUUUAGCCUCAGUGGGUCCAGACUCAGAGUUCUCCCUUUUCAGGAGACCAUGAAUCAGGCUGAGAUGAACACACCCUGUAUUUCACA